Molecule: ribosomal RNA, 245 nt
Filed under: uncultured bacterium
Lineage: Bacteria
Description: partial 16S ribosomal RNA
Rfam family: Bacterial small subunit ribosomal RNA
Source: RNAcentral
AGUAACGCGUGAGCAAUCUGCCUUUGGAUGGGGGAUAACAACCGGAAACGGCUGCUAAUACCGCAUAAUGCAAUGGGACCGCAUGGUUCUGCUGCCAAAGAUUUAUUGUCCAAAGAUGAGCUCGCGUCUGAUUAGCCAGUUGGCGGGGUAACGGCCCACCAAAGCGACGAUCAGUAGCCGGACUGAGAGGUUGAACGGCCACAUUGGGACUGAGACACGGCCCAGACUCCUACGGAAGGCAGCAG